Molecule: ribosomal RNA, 476 nt
Filed under: uncultured bacterium
Lineage: Bacteria
Description: bacterial SSU rRNA
Rfam family: Bacterial small subunit ribosomal RNA
Source: RNAcentral
GGCGAACGCUAGCGGCGGGCUUAACACAUGCAAGUCGAGCGCUUCACUUCGGUGAAGAGCGGCGGACGGGUGAGUAACACGUAGGUUACCUGCCCCUGGGUGAGGGACAACCGAGGGAAACCUCGGCUAAUACCACAUAUGGUCUACGGAUCAAAGGCUUCGGCCGCCCGGGGAUGGGCCUGCGUCCCAUUAUUUAAUCCUAGUUGGCGGGGUAACGGCCCACCAAGGGUACGAUGGGUAGCUGGUCUGAGAGGAUGAUCAGCCACACUGGAACUGAGACACGGUCCAGACUCCUACGGGAGGCAGCAGUGGGGAAUAUUGCGCAAUGGGCGAAAGCCUGACGCAGCCACGCCGCGUGAGUGAUGAAGGCCCCAGGGUCGUAAAGCUCUGUCGGGGGGGAAGAAGUUCUGACGGUACCCCCCGAACGAAAGACACCGGCGUAACUACCGUGCCAGCAGCCGCGGUAAUGUCACAUG